GGGGGUGACUUGGUAUCGAUUAGAGCAGUGAGGAUCAGUUGCAUGUCGGCCUGAGCAUGCCGUUACGCGGCUCAUUUUUUUUAGACGCAAACAAUACAAAUUACGCUCCAGCUUACGCAAAAGCUGCGUAAGUUUAACAACUUAUAGGACUCGCCUAACGGCUUGAGACCUCGGAGGUUCACUCAGUAGAUUCUAUCUAUGCUGAUUAUAGUGGAUUCACCCAGAUAGAUUAUCUUAAAAGGAUUGAUUGACCUUUUUUGAGACAUUUUAAAUCUUAGCUUUUUAGUUGCCUUGCGAGUUGUGCUGCUAGAAAGUGAAAUUUUACAACUCCUCUAAACAUGUAGACGCUGGUAGUAAUUGUUUUAAGACUCCGGUUCAAUCCCGGACACCUCCACCA
This 397-nucleotide transfer-messenger RNA is filed under the name Halarcobacter ebronensis. RNAcentral describes it as "Standard tmRNA". It matches the Rfam family "transfer-messenger RNA". Rfam says of the family: Bacterial tmRNA, also known as 10Sa RNA or SsrA, is named for its dual tRNA and mRNA-like properties. Its role is to liberate the mRNA from a stalled ribosome. The record is from RNAcentral. Lineage: Bacteria; Pseudomonadati; Campylobacterota; Epsilonproteobacteria; Campylobacterales; Arcobacteraceae.